GAGAGGGGCAGAUUGUUCCCUAUUGUGUUGAUAUUUUUUUGGUUUUGUUUGCCUUUCAGAUUGUUCCCUUUUCUGUUUUUGUUUUUGCUUUUUUGUUUUUGGCAUGGCCAUGCCCUUUCUUCCUUCUGCUUCUACGUUUUGCAGUUUUUCUUUUUCAUUUUUCAUUCAUGGUAUUUUGUAAAUGUUUUGUGUGUGGAUGCUAAUUUUUCAAUGGUAUAUCAGUUCGACCAUGAUAGGCCUUGUUUUUUGUUUGUUCAUCCUUUUUGUUCAUUUUGUUGGCUCAGGGUUCACUACAAUCUCUGGAGUUGCCUAUGGAGUUGGCUCAGGGAGGAGUUCAAGAAGAGCUAUAAAUAGGCCAACUCUAAAGCCAAGGGUAUUGCCCAGGUGGCUGGCCUGAAGUGGAAGUGGAAUUUGAUUGUGAUUGGCGUUACACUCACCUGCAAUGGCUUUAUUUAUUUUUAGACAUGGUUCUCAAUGAUUCUUGAGUGGUUCAUUUUUAUUUAAUCAAUGUCUGUAUUUCUGAAUGAUGGUCUUGUUUAGUAUUUUAGACAUCAUGGAUGAUGCAUUCCAUCUAAAGGUGCACGUUCUGUCACAUUUAUUAGUUUGUCUGUUAAAAGAUGGUGAUUCAAUCAUUUUGAAUACUGAAUUUGUUUUGCAGUGAGGCCUGCAAGAAGGAUGUGCCUCUAGCAACUGCUGAUAUGCAUAAUUUCUAACAGGAUGGAAAAAUCUGGACUAAUUUUGAAGUCCCAAAAGCACCACAAGAGCCUAAGUGUGCAGAGGCUAAUAAACCAGGUUACCAAAGAUGGUGCUGAUAAGUGGAAGUCUUUAUCAGAUGAGGUUUGCAGCUAGGCUACCAUAUGGUCGGUAAAAUAUGUAGUUAUAUUGCAAUAUAUUGAGAAAGUUGUUGAAUUGAAGGCAGAGUAUGAGAAAGCCAUUGCUAAGUACGAAAAAAGAAUUUUAAGUGAAGGGUGUAAGUUCUACUAUAACCCACUAUCCAGCGAGUGAGUUUUAGUCGUUGCUCCAUUGAAUGGGACCAUCAGAGUUGCUGUGACGUUCAGUAGCAGUUUCACAAUUGUAGUAGCCAUUUCUGAGUUGCCCAUUUUGCUGGCUUUUACUAUCCUUCUCAACAGUGUUCAGCUCGUGCUUUCAGGCGUGCUAGAGCAUCGAGGGAAGAACCAUACUUGUGGAAGAUCAUCAUAUCAAUGCAAUGAUCUAGGACUCACUAUGUCAAAGACAACAAGCAUGCCUCUCAGAUCCAUUUAAUGCAUGAAGUUGUGAAGUGAUAUUUGGAAGAAUGUACACUUGAGUGUCUAAGAAGUUUACAAUGGAUUGUUUUUAUGUCAUGUAAUGCACCAAUAGCUGUGCAUAUGUAAUUGUAAUUGGAGUACAUUUGUACUCUUAAGCCACUUGCAUAAAGUGGCAAAUGUAAACAUUAAGUUUUUUAAAAAAUAAAAAUGUUUA
RNA transcript from Cryptomeria japonica (Japanese cedar), 1461 nucleotides. RefSeq lists it as uncharacterized. The transcript has 10 exons. The record is from RefSeq and is a predicted model, not a curated record. Lineage: Eukaryota; Viridiplantae; Streptophyta; Pinopsida; Cupressales; Cupressaceae.